CCCACCUCGCAACUCGUCGCCUGGGCAGACGGGGCCUGGGUCUGGCCCAGGGUCUCCCUGUGCUUAGCUGCCCGACACCACCCAGCCAUGAGAAUUGCUGACCUUCAACCGUAAAACCAGGAUAACAAAGAACUAGGAUGACUGAGACCAGGAUGACCCACACUGGACCAACACUUGACCAGUUUCAAGAUCCAUAUCGGAAUGGACUGUGCUGGACUGCAGUCCUGAGUCAAUGCCUAGAUAUACACCUGGACAUAUAACAGACCUUCAGAUACCCCUCUGAUUACACACCGAAGGACUCCUAAUCAGACCAUCUGACAUCCAUUAUCCUGACCACCUGACAUCUGACUGAUAACUGCCCUGGACCAAUCCUGGAUCAACCAGUAAUUCUCAGUGAUAUCUGAGCUGAGCUGCAAGGAAUGAGAAGAAACCUGUCAUGUGAAGAUCUGGGAAGAGAGUGUGCCAAGCAGAGGAACAGCAAGUACAGAUUGUGAGGUAAGGUCAUGCGCUUCGAGCUACCGAGGGAAGACCAGCAUGACCAGAACAUAGUGAUCAAAGAGAGUAAUGGGACAUAAGGGCAGAGACAUUGGCAGGAGGCCAGUUUAUAUGGAGACCAGAUCAUCUAGUGCCUUGUGGACAGUGGCAAGGAGUUUGAAUUUUAUAGGUGCAAUGAGAAACGAUCAGGGUAUGUUCAAGCAGAGAAAGGGUGCCGGAGUCCAUUCAUUGUCUUCACUAGCUGAGUUUAGACAGAGACCCCCCCAAAAGCU
Long non-coding RNA from Myotis brandtii (Brandt's bat), 767 nucleotides. RefSeq lists it as uncharacterized. The record is from RefSeq and is a predicted model, not a curated record. NCBI's taxonomy places the organism in Eukaryota, Metazoa, Chordata, Mammalia, Chiroptera, Vespertilionidae. The transcript is spliced from 4 exons.